This 166-nucleotide ribosomal RNA is filed under the name Seymeria pectinata. RNAcentral's name for it is "5.8S ribosomal RNA". It matches the Rfam family "5.8S ribosomal RNA". From Rfam's summary of the family: 5.8S ribosomal RNA (5.8S rRNA) is a component of the large subunit of the eukaryotic ribosome. It is transcribed by RNA polymerase I as part of the 45S precursor that also contains 18S and 28S rRNA. Lineage: Eukaryota; Viridiplantae; Streptophyta; Magnoliopsida; Lamiales; Orobanchaceae. The record is from RNAcentral.
CAUAACGACUCUCGGCAACGGAUAUCUCGGCUCUCGCAUCGAUGAAGAACGUAGCGAAAUGCGAUACUUGGUGUGAAUUGCAGAAUCCCGUGAACCAUCGAGUCUUUGAACGCAAGUUGCGCCCGAAGCCUUUCGGCUGAGGGCACGUCUGCCUGGGCGUCACGCA